Molecule: ribosomal RNA, 487 nt
Filed under: uncultured bacterium
Lineage: Bacteria
Description: bacterial SSU rRNA
Rfam family: Bacterial small subunit ribosomal RNA
Source: RNAcentral
CUACGUGCCAGCAGCCGCGGUAAUACGUAGGGUGCGAGCGUUAAUCGGAAUUACUGGGCGUAAAGCGGGCGCAGACGGUUACUUAAGCAGGAUGUGAAAUCCCCGGGCUCAACCUGGGAACUGCGUUCUGAACUGGGUGACUAGAGUGUGUCAGAGGGAGGUAGAAUUCCACGUGUAGCAGUGAAAUGCGUAGAGAUGUGGAGGAAUACCGAUGGCGAAGGCAGCCUCCUGGGAUAACACUGACGUUCAUGCCCGAAAGCGUGGGUAGCAAACAGGAUUAGAUACCCUGGUAGUCCACGCCCUAAACGAUGUCGAUUAGCUGUUGGGCAGCAUGACUGCUUAGUAGCGAAGCUAACGCGUGAAAUCGACCGCCUGGGGAGUACGGUCGCAAGAUUAAAACUCAAAGGAAUUGACGGGGACCCGCACAAGCGGUGGAUGAUGUGGAUUAAUUCGAUGCAACGCGAAGAAUCUUACCUGGUCUUGACAU